AUUGAACGCUGGCGGCAUGCUUUACACAUGCAAGUCGAACGGCAGCGCGGGCUUCGGCCCGGCGGCGAGUGGCGAACGGGUGAGUAAUGCAUCGGAACGUGCCCAGUAGUGGGGGAUAGCCCGGCGAAAGCCGGAUUAAUACCGCAUACGACCUGAGGGUGAAAGCGGGGGACCGAAAGGCCUCGCGCUAUUGGAGCGGCCGAUGUCGGAUUAGCUAGUUGGUGGGGUAAAGGCUUACCAAGGCGACGAUCCGUAGCUGGUCUGAGAGGACGACCAGCCACACUGGGACUGAGACACGGCCCAGACUCCUACGGGAGGCAGCAGUGGGGAAUGUUGGACAAUGGGGGCAACCCUGAUCCAGCCAUGCCGCGUGCGGGAAGAAGGCCUUCGGGUUGUAAACCGCUUUUGUUCGGGAAGAAAUCCUCUGGGCUAAUACCCCGGGGGGAUGACGGUACCGGAAGAAUAAGCACCGGCUAACUACGUG
This 484-nucleotide ribosomal RNA is filed under the name uncultured bacterium. Its description in RNAcentral is "partial 16S ribosomal RNA". It matches the Rfam family "Bacterial small subunit ribosomal RNA", at positions 28 to 507 of the family's 1533-position model. The record is from RNAcentral.